This 455-nucleotide ribosomal RNA is filed under the name uncultured fungus. RNAcentral's name for it is "eukaryotic LSU rRNA". The stretch from base 107 to 251 matches the Rfam family "5.8S ribosomal RNA". Lineage: Eukaryota; Fungi. The record is from RNAcentral.
CGUUGGUCUGGUCUAGUCUGGGGGCCGACACAUUGGCUCAAGGCCGCAAGGUCUUGAUGUUUACGCUUGCAUGUUUGACAGAGUUAAUGGUGAGCUUGAAAAUGACAACUUUUAACAACGGAUCUCUUGGCUCUUGCAACGAUGAAGAACGCAGUAAAGUGCGAUAUGUAGUGCGAUUUGCAUGAAUCUGUGAGUCAUCUAAUCUUUGAACGCAACUUGCGCCUCGCUGAGGCAUGUCUGUUUGAGUGCCGCAUACGCUACUGCAGCAAUGCGAUUUGGUCCGUGUCGCGACGGCUAGGCGACUAGACGGGACGACUGGGCCUAAAUGCAGCCAGAGGAUGGUCUGUGGGGACUGGACCGAGUGCUAAGCAUUCUUGGGCUGGGCUCCGCUGGGCACAAUCUAACGAUCUAUUCUAUUUGGCCUCAAAUCAGGCAAGACUACCCGCUGAACUUAA